AUUGAACGCUGGCGGCAGGCUUAACACAUGCAAGUCGAGCGAGCGGCGGACGGGUGAGUAAUGUCUGGGAAACUGCCUGAUGGAGGGGGAUAACUACUGGAAACGGUAGCUAAUACCGCAUACCAUCAGAUGUGCCCAGAUGGGAGUAGCUAGUAGGUGGGGUAAUGGGUCACCUAGGCGACGAUCCCUAGCUGGUCUGAGAGGAUGACAAGCCACACUGGAACGGAGACACGGUCCAGAGUCCUACGGGAGGCAGCAGUGGGGAAUAGUGCACAAUGGGCGAAAGCCUGAUGCAGCCAUGCCGCGUGUGUGAAGAGGGCCUGCGGGUUGUAAAGUACGUUCAGCGGGGAGGCGUUACUCGCAGAAGAAGCACCGGCUAACUCCGUGCCAGCAGCCGCGGUAAUUC
This 406-nucleotide ribosomal RNA is filed under the name uncultured bacterium. RNAcentral describes it as "partial 16S ribosomal RNA". It matches the Rfam family "Bacterial small subunit ribosomal RNA", at positions 29 to 526 of the family's 1533-position model. The record is from RNAcentral.